UAUUUUUUCUAGUAUUUUCUCUAUGUCUUUUGAAAUUCAGCGAGUCGAUGAUGAUCUUUAUUUAUUGUUUCGGCUGCAUAAUUUAAUUUCUCACUUUAUUUGUUCUACUGUUAAAGUUGAAAAUGUAAGGUACUUUGAUUAUGGUGGUUAUACAAUUGGGUGUUGCUACUCAAAACUCUACUUCUUUCAGCAUAUAAUAACUUGUUUUAGCAUCUAAUAUUAUUAAUUUUUC
Molecule: long non-coding RNA, 232 nt
Filed under: Capsicum annuum
Lineage: Eukaryota; Viridiplantae; Streptophyta; Magnoliopsida; Solanales; Solanaceae
Description: long non-coding RNA (CANN_LNC017590)
Source: RNAcentral